CAUAGAAACGCCGGUCCCCGUACAGUCACCGAAGUUAAGCAACCUCGAGUCUGGCCAGUACCAAGAUGGAUGACCGCUUGGGAAUGCCAGGUGCAGUAAG
This is a non-coding RNA of Acanthosepion pharaonis, 100 nucleotides long. The record is from the annotation of a GenBank genome assembly. Lineage: Eukaryota; Metazoa; Mollusca; Cephalopoda; Sepiida; Sepiidae.